GACGAACGCUGGCGGCGUGCCUAAUACAUGCAAGUAGGACGCAGUUGCGAACGGGUGAGUAACGCGUAGGUACCUGCCUAUUAGAGGGGGAUAAAUAUUGGAAACGAUAGCUAAUACCGCAUACUAGUAGAUGGAACUGCGUUGUAUUAGCUAGUAGGUAGGGUAAUGUCCCACCCAGGCAACGAUACAUACACGAGCUGAGGGGGGGAGCUGCCCGCCGGGGACUUGGGAAAGGCCCAGAACCCUACCGUGAGGCACAGGAGGGGAUCUUCGGACAUUGGGGGAAACCUGAACGAGCAAAGGCGCGUGAUAGAAGAAGGUUUUCGGAGCGGAAAGCUCUGUUGUUAAGGAAGCGGUACUCAAACAGAAAGGGACGGCUAACUACGUGCCAGCAGCCGCGGUAAUAC
RNAcentral lists this ribosomal RNA (407 nucleotides) under uncultured bacterium. Its description in RNAcentral is "partial 16S ribosomal RNA". It matches the Rfam family "Bacterial small subunit ribosomal RNA", at positions 28 to 526 of the family's 1533-position model. The record is from RNAcentral.